GCGCUCGUAGCUCAGCUGGAUAGAGUACCUGGCUUCGAACCAGGUGGUCGGGAGUUCGAGUCUCUCCGAGCGCGCCA
Molecule: transfer RNA, 77 nt
Filed under: Candidatus Berkiella cookevillensis
Lineage: Bacteria; Pseudomonadati; Pseudomonadota; Gammaproteobacteria; Candidatus Berkiellales; Candidatus Berkiellaceae
Also listed under: 1 other name
Description: tRNA-Arg
Rfam family: tRNA
About the family: Transfer RNA (tRNA) molecules are approximately 80 nucleotides in length. Their secondary structure includes four short double-helical elements and three loops (D, anti-codon, and T loops). Further hydrogen bonds mediate the characteristic L-shaped molecular structure. tRNAs have two regions of fundamental functional importance: the anti-codon, which is responsible for specific mRNA codon recognition, and the 3' end, to which the tRNAs corresponding amino acid is attached (by aminoacyl-tRNA synthetases). tRNAs cope with the degeneracy of the genetic code in two manners: having more than one tRNA (with a specific anti-codon) for a particular amino acid; and 'wobble' base-pairing, i.e. permitting non-standard base-pairing at the 3rd anti-codon position.
Source: RNAcentral